AUGGUACUCCCUCCGUCCGAAAAUACUUGUCAUCAAAAUGGAAAAAAAGGAUGUAUCUAGAACUAAAAUACAUCUAGAUACAUCCCCUUUUAUUCAUUUUGAUGACAAGUAUUUCCGAACGGAGGGAGUAUUUG
This is a non-coding RNA of Triticum aestivum (bread wheat), 134 nucleotides long. NCBI's taxonomy places the organism in Eukaryota, Viridiplantae, Streptophyta, Magnoliopsida, Poales, Poaceae. The record is from Rfam.